CCUACGGCGGCUGCAGUGGGGAAUAUUGGACAAUGGGCGAAAGCCUGAUCCAGCCAUGCCGCGUGUGUGAAGAAGGCCUUCGGGUUGUAAAGCACUUUCAGUGGGGAAGAAAGCCUUGGGGCUAAUACCCUCGAGGAAGGACAUCACCCACAGAAGAAGCACCGGCUAACUCCGUGCCAGCAGCCGCGGUAAUACGGAGGGUGCGAGCGUUAAUCGGAAUUACUGGGCGUAAAGCGCGCGUAGGCGGUCUGAUAAGCCGGUUGUGAAAGCCCCGGGCUCAACCUGGGAACGGCAUCCGGAACUGUCAGGCUAGAGUGCAGGAGAGGAAGGUAGAAUUCCCGGUGUAGCGGUGAAAUGCGUAGAGAUCGGGAGGAAUACCAGUGGCGAAGGCGGCCUUCUGGACUGACACUGACGCUGAGGUGCGAAAGCGUGGGUAGCAAACAGGAUUAGAUACCCUGGUAGUC
Molecule: ribosomal RNA, 464 nt
Filed under: Vreelandella stevensii
Lineage: Bacteria; Pseudomonadati; Pseudomonadota; Gammaproteobacteria; Oceanospirillales; Halomonadaceae
Description: partial 16S ribosomal RNA
Rfam family: Bacterial small subunit ribosomal RNA
Source: RNAcentral